GUUUGAUCAUGGACGUCAGGAUGAACGCUAGCGGCAGGCUUAACACGAUGCAAGUCGAGGGGCAGCGCGGGGUAGCAAUACGUCUGGCGGCGACCGGCGAAAGGGUGAGUAACGCGUGAGCAACGUGCCCGUGGUUGGGGGAUAGUCAUUAGAAAUGAUGCGUAAUACCCCGUAACACGAUUUUCUCGCAUGGGAGGAUGUUGAAGAUUCAUUGACCACGGAUCGGCUCGCGUGCCAUUAGGUAGACGGCGGGGUAACGGCCCACCGUGCCGACGAUGGCUAGGGGUUCUGAGAGGAAGGUCCCCCACAUUGGAACUGAGACACGGUCCAGACUCCUACGGGAGGCAGCAGUGAGGAAUAUUGGACAAUGGCCGGAAGGCUGAUCCAGCCAUGCCGCGUGCGGGGAACGGACGGCCCUAUGGGUUGUAAACCGCUUUUGCGGGGGAGCAAUAGACACCACGUGUGGUGAGAUGAGAGUACCCUGCGAAUAAGCAUCGGCUAACUCCGUGCCAGCCGCGGC
RNAcentral lists this ribosomal RNA (520 nucleotides) under uncultured bacterium. Its description in RNAcentral is "bacterial SSU rRNA". It matches the Rfam family "Bacterial small subunit ribosomal RNA", at positions 1 to 518 of the family's 1533-position model. The record is from RNAcentral.